This 910-nucleotide ribosomal RNA is filed under the name Stylodothis puccinioides. RNAcentral's name for it is "LSU rRNA". It matches the Rfam family "Eukaryotic large subunit ribosomal RNA", at positions 38 to 964 of the family's 3401-position model. Lineage: Eukaryota; Fungi; Ascomycota; Dothideomycetes; Dothideales; Dothideaceae. The record is from RNAcentral.
GCAUAUCAAUAAGCGGAGGAAAAGAAACCAACAGGGAUUGCCCUAGUAACGGCGAGUGAAGCGGCAAUAGCUCAAAUUUGAAAGCUGGCUUAUGGCCCGCAUUGUAAUUUGUAGAGGAUGCUUUUAGGCAGCCGCCGGUCUAAGUUCCUUGGAACAGGACGUCAUAGAGGGUGAGAAUCCCGUAUGUGACCGGCUCUGGCACCUUAUGUAAAGCUCCUUCGACGAGUCGAGUUGUUUGGGAAUGCAGCUCUAAAUGGGAGGUAAAUUUCUUCUAAAGCUAAAUACUGGCGAGAGACCGAUAGCGCACAAGUAGAGUGAUCGAAAGAUGAAAAGCACUUUGGAAAGAGAGUUAAAAAGCACGUGAAAUUGUUGAAAGGGAAGCGCUUGCAAUCAGACUUGGACUUGGCUGUUCAACAGGUCUUCUGACCUGCCUAUUCAGUCUUGUCCAGGCCAGCAUCAGUUUCGGCGGCCGGAUAAAGGCCCUAGGAAUGUGGCUUUCCCUUCGGGGGAAGUGUUAUAGCCUAGGGUGUAAUACGGCCAGCUGGGACUGAGGUCCGCGCUUCGGCUAGGAUGCUGGCGUAAUGGUUGUAAGCGGCCCGUCUUGAAACACGGACCAAGGAGUCUAACAUCUAUGCGAGUGUUAGGGUGUCAAACCCUUACGCGUAAUGAAAGUGAACGGAGGUGAGAACCCGCAAGGGUGCAUCAUCGACCGAUCCUGAUGUCUUCGGAUGGAUUUGAGUAAGAGCAUAGCUGUUGGGACCCGAAAGAUGGUGAACUAUGCCUGAAUAGGGUGAAGCCAGAGGAAACUCUGGUGGAGGCUCGCAGCGGUUCUGACGUGCAAAUCGAUCGUCAAAUUUGGGGUAUAGGGGCGAAAGACUAAUCGAACCAUCUAGUAGCUGGUUCCUGCCGA